AUGAAUACAAGGGGAGAGUUUACUGAUAGCGUUUAUCUAUUAGUAACGCCGAAGGAGCAAACUUACGUGAAUCUCUCAGGCAAAAAGACUCUUGUAGGACG
RNAcentral lists this non-coding RNA (101 nucleotides) under Virgibacillus necropolis. Its description in RNAcentral is "Glycine sequence". It matches the Rfam family "Glycine riboswitch aptamer". Rfam says of the family: This family represents the bacterial glycine riboswitch. Glycine riboswitches usually consist of two metabolite-binding aptamers domains with similar structures in tandem. The record is from Rfam by way of RNAcentral. Lineage: Bacteria; Bacillati; Bacillota; Bacilli; Caryophanales; Bacillaceae.